CUACACCCCACUGUCCCUAACCCACAUACUCUCUUGAGUUUGCUGUCUCCUAAACAGCAAACUAAAUAUAUACUGUGCUAGAUUUAAAGGAUGCAUUUUUCAGUCUGCCUCUUGCCCCAGCUAGCCAGCCCAUCUUCGCCUUCAAACAGAUCGGCCCGGCUUCCAAUGAUUCCUGUCAACUCACCUGGACCUGGCUGCUUCAAGGAUUCAAAAACAUACCCACUCUGUUUGGUGAGGCCUUCCAAAAAGACUUGCUGUGCAGGUGGUGGCAGUUGGCACAUGAGCAGACCAGAGUAUGAGACAAGAGAUGAGACCAAAAUAUGAGACAAGUUGCAUAUUCAGGGAUCGAACUCGGGACCUUGCGCUUGGGAGGCAGGCAGCAGAACCACUGAACUAAAUCUCCGGCCUGCAAUCUGGUUUUUAUGGGUUAUUUAAAAAUUAAAGUAAUUAAAUGAAGACUUUUAUGUUUGAGGAGACUGCUAAAUGGGACUCCCCUUAGUGAAUAAAGAAGAAACUGCCCAGAAAACAGGUACAUUUAUAAGCCCAUACCUUUUCCUUAGAUGGAAUCUGUUAGACCCAGGGAGAAAGAACCAACCAGAGACUGAUAUUAAAUCCACACAGGAGUUUAUUACUGGCCAGGACCCGAGUUGAGCAUCAGAUUUGAGCCCUGACUGGGGGGAGACUAACAUGUUUUAUACACCUUUGAGGCCAACAGUUUCUAGGCCCCCCUAUGGGAUAGAACUAGCAA
Heterocephalus glaber (naked mole-rat) is the source of this 748-nucleotide long non-coding RNA. RefSeq lists it as uncharacterized. NCBI's taxonomy places the organism in Eukaryota, Metazoa, Chordata, Mammalia, Rodentia, Bathyergidae. The record is from RefSeq and is a predicted model, not a curated record.